GGCGUACAGCUCAGUAACACGUAGCUAACCUGCCCUAUAGAGGGACAUAUCAUCGGGAAACUGAGGGUAAACCCCCAUAGGUAACGAGUUCUGGAAUGACUCGUUACCGAAAGUAGGCUANGGGAAUGGCUCUAGCCUAGCUCUANGAUGGGGCUGCGGCCGAUCAGGUAGUUGGUGAGGUAACGGCUCACCAAGCCUGUGACCGGUGCGGGCCGUGAGAGCGGGAGCCCGGAGAUGGACUCUGAGACAAGAGUCCAGGCCCUACGGGGCGCAGCAGGCGCGAAACCUCCGCAAUGCGCGCAAGCGCGACGGGGCUACCCCGAGUGCCAUCUUUAUGAUGGCUUUUGCCUAGUGUAAAAAGCUAGGCGAAUAAAGGGGGGGCAAGACGGGUGUCAGCCGCCGCGGUAAUACCCGCUCCCUGAGUGGUGGGGACUUUUAUUGGGCUUAAAGCGUCCGUAGCGGGCCUAGUAAGUUUCCCGUUAAAUCCAGUGGCCUAACCACUGGCUGCGGGAAAUACUGCUAGGCUUGGGGGUGGAAGAAGCCACCGGUACUCUUAGGGUAGGGGUAAAAUCCUCUGAUCCUAAGAGGACCACCAGUGGCGAAGGCGGGUGGCUAGGACACGCCCGACCGUGAGGGACGAAAGCUGGGGGAGCAAACGGGAUUAGAUACCCCGGUAGUCCCAGCUGUAAACGAUGCAGACUAGGUGUAGGAGUGGCUACGGGCCACUCCUGUGCCGAAGGGAAACCAUUAAGUCUGCCGCCUGGGGAGUGCGGCCGCAAGGCUGAAACUUAAAGGAAUUGGCGGGGGAGCACCACAAGGGGUGGAUGUUGCGGCUUAAUUGGAGUCAACGCCGGAAACCUUACCAGGGGAGACAGCAGGAUGAAGGCCAGGUUAAAGGCCUUGCCAGACAAGCUGAGAGGAGGUGCAUGGCCGUCGCCAGUGCGUGCCGUGAGGCGUCCUGUUAAUUCAGGCAACGGACGAGACCCCUGCCCNUAGUUGCUACCAGAUAUGAAAGUAUCUGGGCACUCUAGGGGGACUGCCGCCGAAAGGCGGAGGAAGGAGGGGGCCACGGCAGGUCAGUAUGCCCCGAAUCCCCUGGGCCGCACGCGACAUUCAAUGGUAGGGACAGUGGGUUCCGACCCCGAAAGGGGAA
Molecule: ribosomal RNA, 1153 nt
Filed under: uncultured crenarchaeote
Lineage: Archaea; Thermoproteati; Thermoproteota
Description: bacterial SSU rRNA
Rfam family: Archaeal small subunit ribosomal RNA
Source: RNAcentral